RNAcentral lists this ribosomal RNA (872 nucleotides) under Variovorax sp. 337P4BS. Its description in RNAcentral is "bacterial SSU rRNA". It matches the Rfam family "Bacterial small subunit ribosomal RNA", at positions 67 to 932 of the family's 1533-position model. Lineage: Bacteria; Pseudomonadati; Pseudomonadota; Betaproteobacteria; Burkholderiales; Comamonadaceae. The record is from RNAcentral.
CGGCAGCGCGGGAGCAAUCCUGGCGGCGAGUGGCGAACGGGUGAGUAAUACAUCGGAACGUGCCCAAUCGUGGGGGAUAACGCAGCGAAAGCUGUGCUAAUACCGCAUAAGAUCUACGGAUGAAAGCAGGGGAUCGCAAGACCUUGCGCGAAUGGAGCGGCCGAUGGCAGAUUAGGUAGUUGGUGAGGUAAAGGCUCACCAAGCCUUCGAUCUGUAGCUGGUCUGAGAGGACGACCAGCCACACUGGGACUGAGACACGGCCCAGACUCCUACGGGAGGCAGCAGUGGGGAAUUUUGGACAAUGGGCGAAAGCCUGAUCCAGCCAUGCCGCGUGCAGGAUGAAGGCCUUCGGGUUGUAAACUGCUUUUGUACGGAACGAAACGGUCUUUUCUAAUAAAGAGGGCUAAUGACGGUACCGUAAGAAUAAGCACCGGCUAACUACGUGCCAGCAGCCGCGGUAAUACGUAGGGUGCAAGCGUUAAUCGGAAUUACUGGGCGUAAAGCGUGCGCAGGCGGUUAUGUAAGACAGUUGUGAAAUCCCCGGGCUCAACCUGGGAACUGCAUCUGUGACUGCAUAGCUAGAGUACGGUAGAGGGGGAUGGAAUUCCGCGUGUAGCAGUGAAAUGCGUAGAUAUGCGGAGGAACACCGAUGGCGAAGGCAAUCCCCUGGACCUGUACUGACGCUCAUGCACGAAAGCGUGGGGAGCAAACAGGAUUAGAUACCCUGGUAGUCCACGCCCUAAACGAUGUCAACUGGUUGUUGGGUCUUCACUGACUCAGUAACGAAGCUAACGCGUGAAGUUGACCGCCUGGGGGAGUACGGCCCGCAAGGUUGAAACUCAAAAGGAAUUGACGGGGACCCGCACAAGCGG